UCUCACAUUUUUCCUACCAAACUCAUUGAUCGCUGCUGCCCCACAAAUUCCCUUCCAAAAAAGAACUAAUCGACCAAAUCUCGUAGUCCACCACAUCCAUCGUCCAUAUACUCAUUUCCAUAGAUCAACUUACACCGUUGGAUUAAAGUCAUGUGUCGUUAGAUUAAAAUGUGCAACCCUAAAUAGCUUUAUCUUUCUUUUCUAGUCCAUUUAUUCGCCGCCGCCGCCGCAACUCUCACCUCUCCUACAUCUCUACUUAUAACCACGACACCCACAGACACCCUUCUUCAUCCCACGCCUUCAUAGAUCAUCGCCGGAUCUCAUUCGAUUCUUUCUUGUCUCCAUAUCUAACUAGUUCUAGAGUCCGCCAUGGCCCCCACUACCUCCACCCCCUUCAAAUCUAGGGUUUGAGGCUACAAGCGGAGAGGGAUAAGUGGUGGAAACUUGAUGUCCAAAUCAAUCAUGAGCCCGGGGUACGGGCCAUGGAAUCACUUCAUCGAUCGAACACACGACGAAUCAGGUAAAUAUACAUGCUCAAUCAUAUCUCACACCGAAAACUCUCGAGAUAUGCAUCGCCCAAGACCAAGAAUAGUGCUCAUGACUUUAGCGUGGUCUAAAAUUGGGUCGCUAAAUUUUGCGAGAACAACACAGAUGUUGUCGUAGAAUUGACUUUUCUCUUAACCAUGGAUACCACCCGGACCUCAAUUUCUAGGUUUGACCUCUCUCUCUUUUUUUUCCUCGUCUGAGUCAUCCCCCAUCUAUCGUAUUCGUAUCUCUCUAGCUCCACCCAAACUAGUGGAGGGGUCAUACUGCUGACUUAUCACCUACUAGCUAGCAGUAGCAGGUGCUGACAACUAUGGUAGUGCUAUUUGAAUGGGCAAAUUAGGCGGCGGAUCCACACGUAUAUUUUCUUUCCCGAUAAGAGGACGAUGUAUCCUACUAGUAGUACUAGGGGCCGGUACUAUGGAGUGGACGUAGCAGCCAAUCCACGACUGGGAGUUGAUGGCAAUCGCAUGAGCCGAAUCAAUUACUAAAUCGGGAGAUCGUGGGCAGGAGGCGGCGUAUGACUUUUCCAAGAACUUUUUUUUUCCUGAUUUCUGAUGAUCCAAGACAUGAUUAAAGGUUGCUUGUACUACAUCCCAUCGGUGUGCAGAGGGCAAAUAGACAGAGAGGGAGAGAGGAAAGCGGACGAGUGAUGGUUGUCACUGUCUGUGUCUAUAGGCAACAACAAAACAACAAGGACGAAACUGAGCUGCCGCUCGCUCAGUCAGAAUGGUGCGAGUGCAAGUGGAAGGCAGCCCCGUCUCUGUUGCAACUUGGGUCAUGGUGGUGGGGGCCUGGGCUGCGGCCCAGCCGAGUCCAUUUCUGUUUGUCCUUGUUGCGCACCACGACACGUGCCUUCACGUGGGCUUAAAGUGGAGGCUGGGCUCUGUGACAGUGACGGCCGAAGGAGUUAGUAGCCCUCAACUACUGCUUAGUGUUUGUUUCUCACCACUCUCUCUCUAUCUCUUCCAAAGUACAACGCCACACGUACUGUUGACAGAUUAGAAGGGCUGCAAUCGCAGGUCAAUCAUGUCUGCUUAGGCCAGGCACCAUCUUUUAAUUUCACGUCUGACGAAGGACGGGGUCCCUUGCACUGCUGUUCAUGGUCUGUCCUUGGAUCCCAAAACACAUUUGACGCCCGGAAUUUCGGGUGACCAUCUCAAUUUAACUCCUGUUGUUCGCCUGUAGGACAUACCCAGCGCACCAAACGGUGGCUGGCUAGGCUAGCUACCUAGGUGACUGUUGAAGGCUUCUGCACCAGAUUGCCUCAUGACAACCCCUGCUUACUUUACUAAUGGGUAAGAUCAGCGAGUGUGUGUGGCAUUAGCAGUCUUUGUCGUCGUGCAGGUGCAGUUGAUGCUUAUUUUGGUUUGGCCUGUGAGCCAUCAUGCUUCGACGGGGAAGAGUGCCGCGCCGGUGUCUCCGCUUGCUAAUGAUGUUGCAAACGAUAUUCGUUGAUGAUUCGUUGAGUAAUUCUUAGAGCAGCUGCAGUCCAUGUUGAGGACGCUCGCUCAGCAAAACUCGGUCAACGGGUCAAACCUUUUGGCUUUUCUAAAAUCUCCCAGAUUAUAUAACAGUAUAACACUAGUUCAAAAUUUUCUAGAUUAUAUAAUCCGAACAUAUUAUAAUCCUAAACAAACACCCUACAUAUGUAUACCCAUAAUACAUUAUAUAUUUGAACAUUAAGCAGAGUAAUGAUCUAUCCUUUUUAUAGACUUCUCAAUGAAGUAUAAAAGAUUUCUUUAUCUACUCUGAACCAGUUCAUUAAGAAGACCAAAGAAGCAGAAACUAAUAUACCAUUAAGACCUUGGCGACGACUAGUUAUGUGUAUUCACAGAUGAAUGAUGGAAAAUUGUAUGCUGUUAGAUCCUUACACUAACCAUUUUAUCGUCAUUCAGAUUGUUGCAUUAUACUCCCUCCGUUCUUUUUUUAUUUGUCAUAUUUAGUUCAAAAAUAAACUAACGGGUGACAAAUAUUAGAGAACGGAUAUAGUAUAAUACAUCAAUUAGCUAGUCGCUGCUACUCCCUCCUCUAUUUGUAAGCUUUCUUCUACUUGGUUUGAACUGUUUUCACUUUUUGUUAAGUUUCUAAAUAAUAUCUGUAGGGGCUUCGGCCCUCCAGUUUUCUACAAAUAAAUAGGUCCAUGCCUCGUGAUUGAAAUUCUGGAAUUGGAGGAAUCCAUAGAGAGGAGGAAUCCCUUCUAUUCAAUUUUAAAUAGGAAAGAAAAAUUAAAUAGAAAUCCUAUGGAUCUCUUUCAAUUCCCUAGUCACCAAAUCAGCUCUAAAUUAUGGGUCAAUUUUUUUUAACUAAGGUAAUGGGUGCGAAGUUGGGAUAACACCAGAUGAAAAAUUCGCUCCACUGUAUUGCAAUUUGUGCCUCUGCCUUCUCAUUCACUUUCUUUCUCUUUGCUAGCACCCUCAAAAAUCAGAAGCUGGAACCCCUCUAGGCCCAUGGGAAGAUUGGAUGCUGAGAAGAGGAAGGCGAUCGAGGGUUUUGGGACUACUCAUCCAUGCAAUCAGGUAUACCAUCCUUGUGUUUUGAUCAUCCUCAUCCAAGAAACCCUAAACCUAAACAGCAUAUGUUGUGUUGAACAAACAUAGAUGUUUGGUGCGAAAAUCAGGUUUUGUUUGCAACAUCUAGAACUAAUAGUUAACUGCUAAAAUUUCAAAAACCAUCAUCUAAUACACCAGCUAAUUGUUAGUUAACUCAGCUCUAGGGGUUUCAAACGGGGGUUUAGUACCAUGCUUGUACACUGCAUUAUAGAAUAGCAACGCCUUACCGUUCAGGCACUAACCAAAAAAUGAGGGGGAGGGGAUCAUGUAGGCAGAAUUGCAUGGGCUAAUUUCCAAAGGUGAACGCAAAUUUGCACCUGCAAGAACGAACUAGAAACCAUAACAUUUCUCAACACAGCAACAGAUACUUUAAUUCUACCAAGAUUCAGUUCCAUAAACCAUUAAAAGCAUCACGGGUAAUUAAGUCUACCAAGAUCCAGUUUCAUAAACCAUUAAAAGCAUCACGGGGUUUAAAAGCAUCACGGGUGAUCACAACCUUCUCAAGUUCAGGCGCUGGCAAGUUUGUCAAGUAUGACCCUGCCGGGUUGAAAGAAACGAUUGUAAAGAAAUAGACUGGAGCAAUUCUAGCGAAUUCAUGUUCUCUAACCAUUCAGUUCAGAAAGCACAGGUUUCUACGGCCCUCAGCCGCCCGUCCCAUUCAGCUGGGCAGAGCUGAGCCUCCCAGGGCAGAAACUUGGCGCUAGCUGAUCAUGGCAGAGAACACAAAAUCCGCUCGCUCACAAUCUCCAUGCCUCUUACUUUCUGGUGCUCUUAGUCUUAGCCACCUUCACCUCCUCAUCGCGCUUCACCUUUUUCGCGGCCUUAAGCAGCAAGUUCGGUCCAUGGAACUCGCCACUCUUCAGGAUGUCUUCAUCGUAAUCCUUCCUGUGGAGCAUCAGUAUCCUCUUCUCCUUCUCCCUCCGCUCCUUGCAGGGUUCGCAGUCCCAAUGCCCCUUGGGCACCUUUCUUCUUGGAGGACUGAGGCAGUAGAGAUGAUAGCCCUGAUCGCAGCAGUCACACAGGAUGAUCUGGUCAUCGUCCGUGUCGCACAGGCAGACACGGCAGAGGCAAGAUGGACAGUACCAGCGCUGGCUGCCCAUCUGCACAUCACUUGCAAUCUGCUCGGUAGUCAGGCAACUAAUGUGGUAGUACUUGUACAGGCAAAGAUAGUGGUCACAGAUCAGGAACCUCUUGUCCACCUCUUCAGGUCCUCCACACACCUUGCAGCAGAUCAACAUAGCAGUACGGGACAGCUCCGGAAGUUCAGAGGGGUCCAUACUUCAGAUGCCUACAAGAGUGAUAACAUAACGCUGAGCAACGCAAAAAGUCUACCCAAACUGAGAUUUAUAGGCAGCUGAAAAAAAGAUUUGGUCAGUAAUGUUUGGUCCAUAAUCCAUCUGGCGAAACUGAAUAUCAAAAUUGAUCAGCCUUUUCACCAGGGGACCCAAAAUGUGCCAAUGGAACAAUACCAAAACAUGGACUAAAACAAUAUAUGUAAACAUUCAUCCUGAAGAAAUCAGGUGCAGAUGAAAGUAAGAUGCAACAAGAAACACUGGGUGAUCAAAUGCUUUCCAUUAUCCAGCUUAGAGCUGCAAGAUCAAUCCAGGGCGACAUUAAUCUAGUCGAGGAACAGGUUUUUUUCCUUUCUUUUUCUUUUUGGAAACUAAUCAAGCAGUAUAAAUGUCGAUUAUGUUAAUUAAUAAAGAAGAAGACCGCAAACAACGGCACCAGAGAAGAAAAAGAAAUGCUACAACUAAGGCAACUCAGCCAACAACAAAGGAACAUGUUUUUGUUUUGUGAAACAAUGAAAUUGCUGACCAACUCCAGAUAAAAUAAGCCACUAGGCAGACAAAAAAUAAAUAAAUAUGAUUCAUGAACUCCAUUCCCCCAGACAAAGCUAAUCCCUAUUUGAGUUAUUCUACUUCAACUAUCGAUUUCCAGAGAUCUGUUUCAUUCUGCCUUCUGAGCAAAACAUUUUGCUAACACGCAGGGGCGAAGCUAUGUUCAGGAGAGAGGAUGCACAUGCACCCAAGAAAAUUUACAAAAUCAAUGUUUUAGACCAGAUUUUGACCAUAUAUGCACCACCUAUAAAUCAUUGCUAUACACCCUCAAAGUAUGUGCACCCUCCUUUGAUUCAUUCUAGCUUCGCCAUUGCUAACAGGCACUGUUUCAUGUGCCCAGCUUGAACUCCCAAUUCCCCUUGCCUUCUAUAUAUUUUCUUUCCAUGAGUACCUUUCCACAAAGAUCUUCUGACAAAUUGUUACACUGAAAUAAGGCGGAUAGGUAAUCUAUAUCUAGUAAAACAAGUCUCCUUCCUUGCAAAAAACUUUGUGCAUCAAGAAUUUCCAUUCCACCAAUAAUAACUUUCUUGUUGACAAUGGCAUUCCAAGGCAAGUGAUUGGAGGGUGACCGUUAUUACAAUUGAAUUAACAUCUCUGCUCUUUGAUUAUCGUCCAACAAAAAUACAAAAAUACUUUUCAGAUAAUUUAUCUCCAUCUCAGACAUUAUUCUAUAUGCAUACAACAAAAAAAAUCCUAAUUCUGAAACAAAAAAAAAAUCAUCUUUAAAGAUUAGAAUAACCUUUGAAGCAAGGCCAGUCCAUUUGGAUCGAAUGGGGAAUUACUGCACUUUGUUGAGCUCUUCUCCCCAUAGCAGGUAACCCAGUACUACCAGACCAUCAGGGAAUCAAUCAGAUCUGGGCCCUACUCGAUUCUAUGGAGUGAAAAGUCAUAUGCCUUUCCUCAUCAAAAGAUAAAUAAGGAAAACAAUAUCAGAUACUUCUCGAUCUGUAAAAUCUGCAGUCAGCCUCAGCAGUUUUAAGUUUCUCUAUAGUUCACACUUCACACUACAAAUCCGGCUGUGCCCAAACAACUCUAUUCAACAGAGAAGCAUCGAAACUAGCAUGGAGCAAAAUCUGAAUUCCUUAAAUCUCCAACCUAAAACACUUAGCCGACCAAAAAGCCCCUGCUUCCCAAACGAUUCGCCAAGUUCGUUAAAGAUUUUGGGGGAAAACGAGGCCUAAACAACGGGAAGUAAGGGAAAUCAAUAGAAAAAACAUGGUUUUGGUGAGAACCUGUGCCUAGCCGCGCUCUGGGGAAGAUUGGCUGAGGGAGCUGCGUUUUGGGGGAGUGCAAGAGGAGCACGGUAUCCAGGGAAGAUGUGCGGGAGAGAGAUAUAUAUUGGAUACAGCUCAAGAGGGGAGGAACGCUCCUCCUUAAUUGUUCAAGGCAACGCUCCUGCCUUCUUCCAAAAAAAAGAGGGGAGGAUCCUGACAAAAUUCCAGCAAAGAUAGGUGUGAGAGUUUAUUGCUGCCUUCCUUUUCUGCUUGCCUUUUUUAUCUCCUCAAAAGAGUUGUGUUUGUGUUCUAUCCCCCGUAAAACACAAUUUGGAAAGUGUUUCUCAAAAAUUCUGAUGCAUGCAUUGACUCUCUUUUUUUUGUCACUAUCCUGGAUUUCUGUGUAUUCUUAUUUCCAUUGUAUUGAUAACUAAAAAAAUGAAGCCAUAGUUUGCCCAGGUAUAUGUUUGUGUUGCAACUCUGUAGGAAGAAGUAAAAAAUUGAUGAUAUUGAUUAGUACUUUAUAAACUCAAGGCAAAUAUAAGUUUCCAGUACGUUAUUUUCUUAGGCUGGAGAGCACUCUAAGGUUAGCCUUACUUUUCGUGGAAUGUAGUAUACUUUCGUUUCUUAAAAGUAAGAGGUUGCACAAGUUUUUACCAGCACACUACCACUUCUCAUCUUGGUUCAACUCUUCAUUCUCAUGAUGUAUGUGCCACUGGUACCUAAAAUAGCAGUUUGAAAAGGUUAUCUUUCACGAUCAGGACAACAACAAAAAAGAUAAAGAAGCUCUUGUGGUGAAUUAAAUUUUGUUUGUCUCAGUUUUUCUAAUAGGCCUUCCAUUUGUUUCACUUUCAAAUGCUAACUAUCUCAAGCGAUCUGAUGACAGAUUCUAAUCUAGCUGGCAAUCUCUUCAAACACUUGGAUGCAAUGUUUUUUCUGCAUUUUUAGUUGCAGCAGUAUCUAGGAGAAGUAUUUGUAUUUUUCCCCAUUUACCAUCAAUAAAAAAAUACCUCAUGACUCAUGAGUUACUGAUAGAAGUUGAAUGCAUAAUGGUAUAAUAGUUCGUGUGAUCCAGCAACAAAUUGUUGAAGAUAUUCAUAGGAUAGUACAGUUACAUAUUUAACUACAAGGGAACCUCAAAUGCUUAAGAACUCUUUUCCACUUCUAGUUCACAUUCUAUUUUCUUUUAGUUGUUAGAUUUAAUUUGUUUUCAUUAAAUUCCGGGUAUUUGAAAUAAUUGAUUUCCAAAUUUAUGGUCGGAUUUAUGUUAUACUUAUACUCUAAAGUUUUAUAUAAAAGUGAGGGCAAAUUUGCAAACAGAUGAUAAUAAGAGGGACAAUGAUGCAAGAGUAAGAACGUCUUUUUAUGGGCUGAGUUAACACCGUUAUGUGCUUAUAACGGAAUAGCAGCAAACGAAGGAUUUGUUUCAAAAAAGGGGGCAACGGUGCAAAUUCUGGAAAAAUAUGGGUAAAACGGAGUAAGAGUUAUGAGCAGGGGCAACCAUGCAAUAUUUUUGGGUACCUCUCCUGCCAGCACCAAAAGUUAAGAAACAGACAAAUGUUUUUUCAAAAAAAUAGUAAAUACAGAAGGCCAAGAUACUAAUUAAUUACUAACUUGUUGGGUUGGAAGUGCCAAAAAUGCUUGUGAGGUGUACAUUGCAUGCAUUAGCAGAAAACAGCCUAGAAUGUGACAAUGCCAAUCUGGAAUAUGCUAACUGCCUUAAAAGUUACCAGAGAAUAGACAUUCACAGAUGUUGUCAUCCUGUGACUGCCUUCUUGAACGGUCUUAUCCUCAGUUUCUUUUCAUCAUACUCCACUUCUGUCUCUUUUUUUGGGAAAUUGUGAGUUACUGUAAUGCUCAUGCUACUUCACUGGGCUUUUAGGAAAUCAUUAAACUGUUCUAAGUUAUUUGAUAUGGCAGAAUAUACAAAGGUGUCUUAAAUCCCAAUACAUAUAUACCUUUUCACGUUUUUUGUGCUGUUAUUUGAACUAUUUGCACAUGUAAUGUUCAAUAUGCAAUAUAUGUGAUGCAUGAAUCCCUGAUUUGACAUGUUAAGUAGAGUUGCCUCAACAAAUAGUUAUAAAUAAAUGCAAUAUAUGUCAAUCGUGUAGGUAGUUAGGUACCUAUUGAAAAUUCCAGUAAUGCCAAAAUUUGAUUGUUCUGUUCGUGGAAAUUUAUCAUUUUUUAGAGGUAGAUACAUUUCAGUUCACAUUGCUAGAGCUGGUAGGGUUUAACCGUAAAAGUGAGCAAUCUGCAGAAAAUGUUAGAAAUGUAUCAGCACAUGAACUCCAGUUUUCUUCCUCAGGACCAAAAAAAUAGACUCACAGGGUAUGAAUUAUGAUGGUUUUGAUACAUUUUGCAGGUUAUAGAAGUAAUUUUGUGUGUGUGUUUUUACAAUUUGACUUGCAGCAUGAACAUGUAAUGUCCAAAUGCCUCAAGAGAUUGUGCACAAGAUCAAGCUGCAUCAUAAGGUCUAUUCAGAUUGUAGAGCAUGCAUUUUAUGUAGUGGCAACGAAUAGAAGCCUAAGAAAAAAAGACAUGCUCAGGUUGUUGGCAUGCAUUUAUCACGAACAAAUGCUGAAGGAGUUAGGGUUAAUUUUAUGGCAAUAACUCCCUUUUGCAUUUGUUUUAUUUUGGUCAAGAAAAAUGAGCUUUUUUCACAUAGCCAAUUCAGGUAAAGAUGGUGGCAUAUACUCCCUCUGUCUCAAAUUAAAAUUCGUUUUAGGUAAUUAAUAGAUGCAUAGAAUAUGUGAUGUAUAUGUUUUAUAUAUGUGUCUAGAUUUAUUAUCAUCUAUUUGAAUAUAAACAUAAAAAUCAAGAGUUAGAAUGACUACUAUUCUGGGACGGAGGGAGUACAUUGCUAGGGAUGAGGAGCAAAAUAUAAGUUAACAUUUGUGUUUCUCCCAUUGCACAUAAUGCAAAUGUAUAGGGUUUGUUCUCAGUUCAAGUUUUUUAAAAAAAAUAGAACAGCAGAAGAUAAUAAUGAAAUAAGUAGAUUGUGUUCUCACGAGAGUUCUUGCCGAAUCAAGUUAAACUGUAAAGGAAGAUAUUACUGAACAGAACUGGCCAUAAAUACAGUGCCUUUAGUAUGUCAGCAUCUUGUGAACUAACAUAUCGGAUAUCGCAGAUAUAGUAAGGAAGAAACCAUGAAGUCCUCUCAGCUGCAAUGCGGUUGAAUAAGCAAGAGACGAUGUUCACUCUAUGAUGCAAACAAGAGUAAUGACCGAGCUUUGUGAUGCUCUUGGUCAAGAUACUAACGGCAGCCAGGUAAAAAAAACGAUACUAACGGCAGCCAGGUCAAAAAGAAACGAUACUAACGGCAGCUGCUCCUGUCCAGAACAGAGAUGGGGAACAAAGAAAAAAUAGGAAUAGACUUACACAAUUGCAACAUAGCUGCAGAUUGUGCUUGUUCCAGUAAUUAGCAGCAUAUAUUAUUUCUCAUCACGAGUGGUCAAUAUGUUCCGUUUCUAUCCCGCUCUUGAUGCUGUUCUGAAGGGUCAUUCUUAGCAGUUAGCACAGUCAGCCAUUCGCAAACUCGCAACAUGAACAUGUAAUGUAUGGAACACUGGUCCUUCAAGAAUUCUCAUUAAAGAUUUAAAGGCGUGUUUGAGAACAAAGAGAUUGAGUGCUUGUUCUGUUAGAGUGGAUUGAAA
This 9803-nucleotide long non-coding RNA is filed under the name Zea mays. RNAcentral describes it as "long non-coding RNA (ZMAY_LNC001915)". Lineage: Eukaryota; Viridiplantae; Streptophyta; Magnoliopsida; Poales; Poaceae. The record is from RNAcentral.